AAUGUACUGCACGAUGUAACCCUUUAUGAAGCACACGCAUCAUGAAGGCACAGGGUAAUGUACGGCCAAAGCUCAUCAUUCUAAUGAAUAAAGCAUCGGAUUGAUGGGUGGAAGGUUGUCCUGCCUUUCCUUCAUACGAAGCGGACAGCACUUCGGGUGUAAAGCUAAAGCAGCUACGCAUAUCGCUUAGCAAUACACGCGUCUAACGAAGCAUUUACAUCCCAAAUACAGGUCAGAGAGAGAAAAUCGCUUGAGCUGUACAUCGACAAUUUCUGCAUGGCUUUUGCCCUCGCCCAAAGCUGCCAUAGUGGCUUGACAAUAUUUGCUCAAUAAUGCAUCAGUAAAUAAUCUGUUGAAUACUUCAGUUGUUCAGUGCUGAAAGUAUAGAGUGUCAGUUUCCACGUGUACACACUCCUCAUGCAUCACGUGGCGUUACUAAAUCCAUCCUUUAGACGCUCUCCACGGUUAAACUAAUUGAACGAAGUGUCCCAAAGCAAUCCGAACAAAUUUUAGGUUUGAUUCUGGGAACUAUGAAAUCAGAAAUGCCUUUACGUCGAUGCUUUAAACGGCAUGUCACUUACUGGGAUGUUAUGCUCGCAUCUUAGGCCCAGGGCAAAUUUACUCGAGAUAUUACUCGAUUCGCAUAAACAACAGCAGAUCGGGUGAUGUGUGGAGGAAUGGAGGGGUGGAGGAAUGGAGGAAUGGAGGAAUAUAUGGUCCGAAGGAGGGAUGGAGGGUGGGGAGGGGUGAUGUAUGGAGAGGGUGAUGGAGGAGCGGAUGGAGGAAGGAAUGGAGGGAUGGUGGGAGGAAUAGAGGAAGGGAUGGAAGGAUGGAGGGAAGUAUGGAUAGGGGGAGGGAGAGAAGGAGGAUGGAGGGAGGGAUGUAUGAAGGAAGGGAGGCAGGGAUGUAUGGCCCUAUGGCCCUAUGGCCCUAUACAUACAUUUAACCGGUCACCAAUCGAUCACCGGGCCCAACCGGUCUGUAGGGUGGGGCCUCGGUAGGACGACCGCGGAGUUACCGGCCCUUAAAUCUUAUCCUGGAAAAAGCAACUAGACAUAUUAAGGUUGGCUUUUAUAGAAAUCGAUCUUCCUGGCUCAUCAACCAUAACCCUUGGUGGGGGACGGAACCCGUGAACCAGCGUCAACAGGGAAGAACGGCGUCUCCCCGCUGAGCGGUCCCUUGGUAACUAAUGACUUAUCCAUCCAUCCAUCCAUCCAUCCAUCCAUCCAUCCAUCCAAGAAACAGGAUAAGCAAGAACAUAUUCUUGCUUUACGUAUUACUUAACGGGCAGUGUUUUUUCAUUUUUGCCCGUCAAAUUUCCAGUCCGAACGGAGGAAUAGGUUUUUAGUCGCGGGAAUAUAUUCCCGUGUGUGUGCACACAUACGCACUCUCUGGCAUAGGUAAGGGCUACCAGGCCUCAUCUAUCGCAUCAUCUCAUCACCGAAUAACCUGUCAGUUUCGUCUGUGGGAACGCAGCAUAACAACCGCACUGCCCAAGCCAUAUCGAUUAAGUGCUUUCCAGCCAAACGCCACCAUGUGUAUCAUAUCACCUUUCGCACUUAAAUCGCAGUGACGGAACAUUGAUACAGAAAGCCAAUCUUGGCAAGAAGUAUCAGGGGAAAUAGUUAAUAUACAUCCGUGCGUGUGCGUUGGUAGAAAUGGACGGCGGACCGACAUGUUGAACGUGAUGGUCGUCCUUUCGCUACUGGUGCUCAAUGCGUGUGACCUUUACAACAAGUUUACGGCAUGACUCAUUUGUUCCUAUGCGUUGACGCUACUCCUGCCAAAGCAAGGUCAACACAAUGUCCGCGCGUCUGUGACAGUAAGAAUCUUAUGUCUUUUCCCUUCGAUUGCUUUCUCCAUCUAUGCAGAAAGCUUAUUUACUAUAUGUGCUAGUGGCUCGGAUAGCCUCGCUUGCAAACAUCGGUAUUCUGCUUUCAUAAAGGCUCUCGGCUGUAAUCGCAAUCUCGGCUUUCUUUCGCCAGCCCAUCUCCUGGGUCACGGGUAUUGUCUUCUGCUGUAUAUAUGCUAUACGUAGGUAUAUAACAUGGGAUAGCUUAGAGUGAGACCUCCCGCCGCACGCGGUUAUGACCUCCGGAGGCUGCCGGCUGGACCGGCCCAGACCCUGGCUUCCUGGUAACGAGGACACAACCCCUUCUGAACCAGCUUUCUGGAACCUCCAAGGUUGCAGAUGCAAUCCCUGCCGCUCAUGGUUUCAGACGCGCGGUCCCGAAAUGUAAACUUUUCCCCAGAAACAGGAUUACU
Molecule: long non-coding RNA, 2265 nt
Filed under: Volvox carteri
Lineage: Eukaryota; Viridiplantae; Chlorophyta; Chlorophyceae; Chlamydomonadales; Volvocaceae
Description: long non-coding RNA (VCAR_LNC000691)
Source: RNAcentral